GGCAUUAAAGUAACUCGUAUUGCGCAUGGUCUGCCAGUUGGUGGAGAUUUAGAAUAUGCAGAUGAAGUGACACUAUCCAAAGCGUUAGAAGGUCGCAGAGAAGUAUAAGAGGAGAAACAAAAAUGUUCUUUCAAAAAAAGGGUAAAUUGCGUAAAGAGUAUGACGAUAAGUUAAUUGUACUUUUGGAAAAAGUGAAGAAUGAGUGGUUACGUCAGAAGAGAAUGGUCGAACAAAGUGUAGAACCGUCUCAAGAUGUCAUUUGUUCUUUGAAAAUAGCAGAGGCGAAAUAUUUCUUUUUGUUGAAAGAAGCAAAGCGUCGUCCUGUAAAAAUGGAACAAUGGUAAAGGGUUCUGCUUUCUAAGCAGGCCUUUUUAUUUUAUUUGUUAAAUGCUGAGUUAUUGUUUUAUUUAGUUUAUAUGAAAGGGAUGCCACUUAUGAUAACUGUUCUUUUUUAUUGUCUUGUCCCAUACAAAUAGAUGUAUAGGUCAUUCAUAAGGAGGAAAAAAUGAAUUCUACAAUUAUUAUUGUUGGCAUUCUUACUUUAGUAUUUAUUUUUCUUGUUUUUGGUGUUGCCUCUAAGCCAUUACGUUUUAUAGGUAAGGUGAUUUUUCAUGUUACUUUAGGAAUAGCGUUGCUUUUUAUCGUAAAUGUUAUAGGGACAUAUUUUGAUUUUCAUAUCCCGAUUAACAUGGGUACAGCAGCAAUAACGAGUUUAUUAGGCCUACCCGGUGUGGCAGCAUUAGUGAUUAUUAAGCUUUAUAUCAUGCCAAGAUAAAAUUAUUUUGGCAUUUUUUUUAAAAGUGUUGACUAUUAAAUGAUUAAUAUGGUAAAUUAAUAAGCGUCGUCAGCAGCGAAAGAAAAAAACUGUUGACAGAUUUAACGAGAAAUGUUAAAUUAUAAAAGUCGCUAAAACGCGAUGUUGAACUUUGAAAACUAAACGAAACAAACAACGUGAAACGUCAAUUUUUAUUUUAGAUGCUAGACAAACUAACUUUAUUGGAGAGUUUGAUCCUG
RNAcentral lists this ribosomal RNA (1014 nucleotides) under Bacillus cereus VD014. RNAcentral's name for it is "23S ribosomal RNA". Lineage: Bacteria; Bacillati; Bacillota; Bacilli; Caryophanales; Bacillaceae. The record is from RNAcentral.